RNAcentral lists this transfer RNA (76 nucleotides) under Bacillus sp. AFS059628. RNAcentral's name for it is "tRNA-Val". It matches the Rfam family "tRNA". Rfam says of the family: Transfer RNA (tRNA) molecules are approximately 80 nucleotides in length. Their secondary structure includes four short double-helical elements and three loops (D, anti-codon, and T loops). The record is from RNAcentral. Lineage: Bacteria; Bacillati; Bacillota; Bacilli; Caryophanales; Bacillaceae.
CGAGGAUUAGCUCAGCUGGGAGAGCACCUGCCUUACAAGCAGGGGGUCGGCGGUUCGAUCCCGUCAUCCUCCACCA